UUACCUCAAAUCCUCUGGUGGCUUUCCAUUUCACUCAGAGUUAAGCCAAGGUCCUUGCAGUAAGGUCUGGAAACCAUCUGUUUCUCUCACUCAUCAAGUUUACUGUCUUUUUUCCCCACUAGAAUGUGUGCCCUCCAUGAGGGCAGGGGCUUUUCUCUGUUUUGCUUACUACAUUCAUCUACCUCCAGUGCCUGAUGCCCAGGAGAUGCUCAAAACCUGUUUAUUGCCAUCUGUUGAAUGCGCCCUCCUCUCCUACCCCUCUUUUGGAGUGGGAGGCAGAUGGUGAAGUCUGAGUGUGUGCUGCAGUCCAAGGCUGCUAUUUCCAAGCAAGGAGCAGGAGAAGGCAAAGCAGAAAUGCAAAAAAGUGGCUACAAAAAGCUUGCCUGGGUGAUCUUGUUAUUUAUGGAAUUAAUUUACACAAUUUUGUGUACUCUGAGGUCAAAUAAACCUUUUUGUUCUUUUAUUUCAUUCUUUUACCAUACUAUCUAAACUGAGGCAUUCAAGAGUAAAUAGAAAAAAAUUUAGCUGGUGCAAAAACUUGGGGAAUCUGUUUCCUCAGAGAUUUGUCUUGGAUAACUGGUCUCCUUCUACAUCAGGGAAGAAAUUGGAGUACUGCCUCACUGAGCCAUCAGAUGUCUGGGUUUGCAAAAGUGACACUCAGGGCUAUUUAUUUCCUCCAGAGCACUUGGCUUGAAGGGAAUUAAUGAGGUUGCCCAUUGAGUGGAGGUGCCUUCAUGGCAGUAAGAGAUUCGAACAGGAACCUCUCCCUAGAGGGAGACCUGCAGACCUUCCCACUUCAUUAUCCUAUAUAAUAAAGGCAAUUUUGCAUUAGGGAAGUCAGUGUCUGGGGCCUGCCCUGUAGAUGGUCUAUGGACAAGUGCUCCACCCGCAGCCAUGCUGAUUGCUGUGUCUGCAGUUUUGGUUCUCCCCCCUUCUCCCCACACCCCCCAACAUCCCAGCUCUGCCAAAGCUGAUUGGACAAUGAUGGGUAUUGGUGGACCCGCCUCCCGCCCCCAACAGUCUAUCCUGGGCUGGCAAGCAAACUAUGGUGUGGUCUGGGAGAGCAAAAGGAGCUGGACUAGUCAAAUAUGCUCUCUUGGGAAUUUGAUCAGGGUAAUGAGGCUAUUCGCUACGGGAGGGGAGCAAAAAAUAGAGAGUGGAGAUUGGGAGAUGGGCAGAAUGAUAUAGAAGAGAAGAAAGACACAGUGGCUGAGUGAAUAAGCCAGCAAGGGACACAAGAAUAAAUGGACAGUGAAGUUGCUGAGCCACAUUAAGGAUGGCCCAUUACUGCAAAACCCAACCCUGAAGUUGAUGUGGGUCCCAGACUCAUGUUCCACUCCCAGGCUCUAGGAAUCGUUUCAUACCAAGUUGAGGAUCAAGAAUCCUCCCUGGUCCCUUUCUGGGAUUUCCAUCUUCUCCUUUUGCCUGUGCCAUUCUUAUAAUAGCCACUCCACCCCCAUCCCAUUUUACUUAUUUCCUGAAUUGGCCAGAGUGUUUUGUCUCUCUUCCAACCAAAAGGACUAACUCAAUCCAAUGUCUUCAUUAAUUUGACCAAGCAGCAAUAUUAAAGGAUGAAAUAGGGGAUCCCUGGGUGGCGCAGCGGUUUGGCGCCUGCCUUUGGCCCAGGGCACGGUCCUGGAGACCCGGGAUCGAGUCCCACGUCGGGCUCCCGGUGCAUGGAGCCUGCUUCUCCCUCUGCCUGUGUCUCUGCCUCUCUCUCUCUCUCUGUCUAUCAUGAAUAAAUAAACAAAAAAUAAAAAAA
Molecule: long non-coding RNA, 1762 nt
Filed under: Canis lupus familiaris (dog)
Lineage: Eukaryota; Metazoa; Chordata; Mammalia; Carnivora; Canidae
Description: lncRNA (ENSCAFG00845002911.1)
Source: RNAcentral